RNAcentral lists this ribosomal RNA (253 nucleotides) under uncultured bacterium. RNAcentral's name for it is "partial 16S ribosomal RNA". It matches the Rfam family "Bacterial small subunit ribosomal RNA", at positions 524 to 776 of the family's 1533-position model. The record is from RNAcentral.
UACGAAGGGGGCUAGCGUUGCUCGGAAUCACUGGGCGUAAAGGGUGCGUAGGCGGGUCUUUAAGUCAGGGGUGAAAUCCUGGAGCUCAACUCCAGAACUGCCUUUGAUACUGAAGAUCUUGAGUUCGGGAGAGGUGAGUGGAACUGCGAGUGUAGAGGUGAAAUUCGUAGAUAUUCGCAAGAACACCAGUGGCGAAGGCGAGUCCCUGGACAACUUCUGACGCUGAGGCACGAAAGCUAGGGGAGCAAACAGG